Molecule: ribosomal RNA, 462 nt
Filed under: uncultured bacterium
Lineage: Bacteria
Description: partial 16S ribosomal RNA
Rfam family: Bacterial small subunit ribosomal RNA
Source: RNAcentral
GAUGAACGCUGACAGAAUGCUUAACACAUGCAAGUCUUUGGCGAAGCUGUGCUUGCACAGCCUAGCCAAGGCGGACGGGUGAGUAACGCGUAAGGAACUUGCCCUGCAGUCAGGGAUAACAGACGGAAACGACUGAUAAGACCUGGUAAAGUCAGGCGGACUCAUGUCCAGCCUGAUGAAAAGAGAUGCUGCAGGAGAGCCUUGCGUCCUAUUAGCUUGUUGGUGGGGUAACGGCCCACCAAGGCGAUGAUAGGUGGCCGGCCUGAGAGGGUGGACGGCCACAAGGGGACUGAGAUACGGCCCUUACUCCUACGGGAGGCAGCAGUGGGGAAUAUUGGACAAUGGGGGCAACCCUGAUCCAGCAAUUCUGUGUGCACGAUGAAGGUUUUCGGAUUGUAAAGUGCUUUCAGCAGGGAAGAAAAAAUGACGGUACCUGCAGAAGAAGCGACGGCUAAAUACGUG